Molecule: transfer RNA, 58 nt
Filed under: Cricetulus griseus (Chinese hamster)
Lineage: Eukaryota; Metazoa; Chordata; Mammalia; Rodentia; Cricetidae
Rfam family: tRNA
About the family: Transfer RNA (tRNA) molecules are approximately 80 nucleotides in length.
Source: Rfam by way of RNAcentral
UAGCUCAGUGGUUAAGAGUACUGGCUGCUCUUCCAGAGGUCCUGAGUUCAAUUCUCAG